UACGGGGGGGGCAAGCGUUGUUCGGAAUUACUGGGCGUAAAGGGCGCGUAGGCGGUUUGCUAAGUUGGAUGUGAAAACUCUGGGCUUAACCCAGAGCCUGCAUCCAAAACUGGCAAACUUGAGUACUGGAGGGGAAAGCGGAAUUCCUGGUGUAGCGGUGAAAUGCGUAGAUAUCAGGAGGAACACCGGUGGCGAAGGCGGGUAGCUGGGCCGACACUGACGCUGAGGCGCGAAAGCUAGGGGAGCGAACGGG
This 253-nucleotide ribosomal RNA is filed under the name uncultured bacterium. RNAcentral describes it as "partial 16S ribosomal RNA". It matches the Rfam family "Bacterial small subunit ribosomal RNA", at positions 524 to 776 of the family's 1533-position model. The record is from RNAcentral.